CAUGGUCAUAAACUAGAUUAAAAAUUCAAAAUAAAAGUAUCUUGUUGUUUAUUUAUUAGAAUGAUAUAUAUGAUUUAAAACAUUAUGCGUACAUGUUUAAAAUAAUGAAAUUGUAAGCUGUAAAUUUGUUAGUUUUUAAUUUUUUUUUUUUUUUAUCUUUUUUGGAUUUUCCCAAUUAUUUUAAAAACUACUUGCGAAAUCAAUAAACAAUGUUCUUCAUUAGCAUCUAGAUCCAAAAUGCAACGAAAAAGGUGUCUUCGUUAUUUUUCUAUUGCAGCAGUAUUUUCGGUAGAAAACAUAAUUUACAAAAAUUAAAAUUAAUAAAAUCAGUAAUGUCACGGUGCACAGUAAAUAUUUCCCAUAUAAUUUUC
Non-coding RNA from Cinara cedri, 371 nucleotides. The record is from the annotation of a GenBank genome assembly. NCBI's taxonomy places the organism in Eukaryota, Metazoa, Arthropoda, Insecta, Hemiptera, Aphididae.